GACGAACCGUGCGAACGUUAUUCGGAAUCACUGGGCUUAAAGCGCGUGUAGGCGGCCCGGCACGUCCGUCGCUGAAAGCCCCCGGCUCAACCGGGGAAGUGGCGUGGAUACGACCGGGCUGGAGGGGGGUAGGGGGCGCCGGAACUUCCGGUGGAGCGGUGAAAUGCGUUGAGAUCGGAAGGAACGCCCGUGGCGAAAGCGGGCGCCUGGACCCCACCUGACGCUGAGACGCGAAAGCCAGGGGAGCGAACGGG
Molecule: ribosomal RNA, 254 nt
Filed under: uncultured bacterium
Lineage: Bacteria
Description: partial 16S ribosomal RNA
Rfam family: Bacterial small subunit ribosomal RNA
Source: RNAcentral